CUGGUUGAUCCUGCCAGUAGUCAUAUGCUUCGUUCAAGGGCUAAGCCAUGCAUGUCUCAGCGCACAUGGUUCAACAGUGGGUCUGUGAAUGGCUCCUUACAUCAGCAGUCAUCUCCGUGAUAGAGUGUGCAUGGCACCGUCAGCAGGUGCCCGUUUGGACAUCCUCCAAAACCUGGUGGCUAAUACACGAAUGGAACAGUCUGCCACGUCAAGUGGGUUGCCCUCUGGGUGGCCCACUGUGGUGGAUUACAGUCAGCUGCAUGAAAGACCAGUGCCCUGAGUGGCAGUGUCUCUAGCUGACUCAGGCUGAUCCCAGUGGGACGGCCGUGCUGGCAGAGAGGUGGUUCGCCACAGCUUGCUUGAUCACACGAACUUCUGACCUAUCAGCCUUGAUUGUGGUGUAGUGGACCACAAUGGCAGUGACGGGUAACGGAGAAUUUGGGUUCGAUUCCGGAGAGGGAGCCUGAGAGACGGCUACCACUACCAAGGUGGGCAGCAGGCGCGCAAAUUGCCCAAUGCAAAGACAGCUUGCGAGGCAGCAACGAACUGCAGCAAUUCUGCUGGUAUCACUACCAGCUGAACUUGGAAUGGAUGCUAUCCAAACACAGUGAUGAGUAACGACUGGAGGGCAAGUCUGGUGCCAGCAGCUGCGGUAAUUCCAGCUCCAAGGGCGUAUACUAACAUUGCUGCUGUUAAAACACUUGUAGUCUGCCACUGGGUGCAGGUCUGCUGGGUGGCUGGUGGAUGCCGUUGGGAAGGCCCUCGGGCCGACGCUCGGUGUUCGCUGGAACUCAACCCCCGGCAGUAUGUUCCUGUGCCCGCGUCCUCGAUGGUGAGAAUUGCUCCUGCACGAAGUCUCCUUCAGUGGAGGCCAAGGCGGUCUCGCACCCGACGCUUGCCUGGGCAAGACAGGGGCAUGGCCCUGCGCUGUGCAUCAUCCCUGGCCCACCACCGGAGCCCACCAUCAGUGUCACCCUGGAAAACUCAGUGUGCCCAACGCGUCCAGUCUUGGCUGGAUGUCCGUCCAUGGAAUGGCAAAGCAUCGACCGAGUGUGGCAAUGGAGUUGUGCUGGCCUUGGUGCCGACUCUGGAGAAUCUGGGGCUUGUUCCCUGGUGGCCUGCUGGUGCCAAUCCUCGUCUCCGGACUUGGUUGGUGCCACACCAUCCGGUGGCAGUUUCCGAACGAAUCUGAUGGGACUGCUCAGGGUGAAAGGUAUUGCAACGCCAGAGGUGAAAUUCUUAGACCGCUGCAAGACCAACUGCAGCGAAGGCGUUCUGCAAGUGCAUGUUCGUCGAUCAAGAAUGAGAGCGUGGGGAGCGAAGAUGAUCAGACACCGUCGUAGUCCRCUGCUGUAAACCAUGGCAGCUCGGCAUUGAUGGGGCCUGUUCUCGAACCCCACCAGUGCCAUGCCCCCUACAACGAGAAAUCCAAGCCUUUGGGUUCAGGGGGGAGUACUGUAGCAAGGCUGAAACUUAAAGGAAUUGACGGAAUGGCACCACAAGGCGUGGAGUAUGCGGCUUAAUUUGACUCAACACGGGGAAUGUUACCAGGUCAGGACGUUGCUUGGAUGGACAGAUUGAGAGCUCUUUCUUGAUUCUUCGGAUGGUGGUGCAUGGCCGCUCCUGAUUGGUGGAGUGAUUUGUCUGGUUGAUUCCGAUAACGAGUGAGAUCUCUGCCUCCCAAUAGCCCCAGUCUCGCAUCUGUAGGGCGUUCCACAGGCCGACCCUUCACCGGUGUGACGCCUGUUGGUUGCCUGAGAGCUCUGGGAUUCGCUUCUCUGAGGUGCUGUGUCUGCCGCCAAAGGCACGCAUGCUAGAGCCAACAGCAGGUCUGUGAUGCUCCCAGAUGUCCUGGGCCGCACGCGCACUACAUUGACACAGUGAAGGUGUUACGCUCCCUCUGUGGAGCCCUUGCCAGAAGUGGCUUGGAAAUCCUGCAAGCCUGUGCUGUACUGGGGAUAGAUGAUUGCAACUGUCUGCCUUGAACGAGGAAUGCCUAGUAGGCGUGGGUCAUCAGCCCACACCGAUUGUGUCCCUGCCAUUUGUACACACCGCCCGUCGUUGCUACCGAUGACAGCUGGAUAGAGCCAUCAGGAGGCCCUGGGACACUUGUGUCCCAGCUGAAAUUGGGCAAUGUCCAGCUGUUAGAGGAAGCAAAAGUCGUAACAAGGUUGUUGUAGGUGAACCUGCAGAAAGGAUCAAA
RNAcentral lists this ribosomal RNA (2203 nucleotides) under Trachelomonas volvocinopsis var. spiralis. RNAcentral describes it as "SSU rRNA". It matches the Rfam family "Eukaryotic small subunit ribosomal RNA". Lineage: Eukaryota; Euglenozoa; Euglenophyceae; Euglenales; Euglenaceae. The record is from RNAcentral.